RNAcentral lists this ribosomal RNA (477 nucleotides) under uncultured bacterium. RNAcentral's name for it is "bacterial SSU rRNA". It matches the Rfam family "Bacterial small subunit ribosomal RNA", at positions 335 to 799 of the family's 1533-position model. The record is from RNAcentral.
ACUCCUACGGGAGGCAGCAGUGGGGAAUAUUGCACAAUGGGCGCAAGCCUGAUGCAGCCAUGCCCGCGUGUAUGAAGAAGGCCUUCGGGUUGUAAAGUACUUUCAGCAGUGAGGAAGGCAGGUACGUUAACUAGCGUGCUUGUUUGACGUUAGCUGCAGAAGAAGCACCGGCUAACUCCGUGCCAGCAGCCGCGGUAAUACGGAGGGUGCGAGCGUUAAUCGGAAUUACUGGGCGUAAAGCGCAUGCAGGUGGUUUGUUAAGUCAGAUGUGAAAGCCCGGGGGCUCAACCUCGGAAUAGCAUUUGAAACUGGCAGACUAGAGUACUGUAGAGGGGGGUAGAAUUUCAGGUGUAGCGGUGAAAUGCGUAGAGAUCUGAAGGAAUACCGGUGGCGAAGGCGGCCCCCUGGACAGAUACUGACACUCAGAUGCGAAAGCGUGGGGAGCAAACAGGAUUAGACUACCCUGGUAGCACGAUG